CGGCGGCUAUCAGAAGUGCGAUCCGGAAGUCCAGUACGUGACCCGGACCGAGACUGUGCCCGAGUACGUCACCACAACCCAGUACCAGGUGCACACGCAGUACCAGACUCAGUACCAGCCGCACUACGUCACCCACACUGAGCAGGUGCCACAGUACGUCACCCACACACAGGUAGUGCC
Molecule: long non-coding RNA, 180 nt
Filed under: Penaeus japonicus
Lineage: Eukaryota; Metazoa; Arthropoda; Malacostraca; Decapoda; Penaeidae
Description: uncharacterized LOC122243187
Source: RNAcentral